AUGGUCGCAAGACUGACCCAGCCAUGCCGCGUGCAGGAAGACGGCCCUCUGGGUUGUAAACUGCUUUUAUCUGGGAAGAAAAAGUCCAUGCGUGGAAAAUUGCCGGUACCAGAUGAAUAAGCACCGGCUAACUCCGUGCCAGCAGCCGCGGUAAUACGGAGGGUGCAAGCGUUGUCCGGAUUUAUUGGGUUUAAAGGGUGCGUAGGCGGCUGAAUAAGUCAGCGGUGAAAGACUUCGGCUUAACCGGAGCAGUGCCGUUGAUACUGUUUAGCUUGAGUGUUGGAGGGGUACAUGGAAUUGAUGGUGUAGCGGUGAAAUGCAUAGAUACCAUCAGGAACACCGAUAGCGAAGGCAUUGUACUGGCCAACAACUGACGCUGAGGCACGAAAGUGUGGGGAUCGAACAGGAUUAGAU
Molecule: ribosomal RNA, 414 nt
Filed under: Bacteroidetes bacterium SCGC AAA023-K17
Lineage: Bacteria; Pseudomonadati; Bacteroidota
Description: bacterial SSU rRNA
Rfam family: Bacterial small subunit ribosomal RNA
Source: RNAcentral